Molecule: ribosomal RNA, 580 nt
Filed under: uncultured rumen bacterium
Lineage: Bacteria
Description: bacterial SSU rRNA
Rfam family: Bacterial small subunit ribosomal RNA
Source: RNAcentral
UACCGCAUAAGCGCACAGUAUCGCAUGAUACAGUGUGAAAAGCCGAGACGGUAUACGAUGGACCCGCGUCUGAUUAGCCAGUUGGCAGGGUAACGGCCUACCAAAGCAACGAUCAGUAGCCGGCCUGAGAGGGUGAACGGCCACAUUGGGACUGAGACACGGCCCAAACUCCUACGGGAGGCAGCAGUGGGGGAUAUUGCACAAUGGGGGAAACCCUGAUGCAGCGACGCCGCGUGAGCGAAGAAGUAUUUCGGUAUGUAAAGCUCUAUCAGCAGGGAAGAAAAUGACGGUACCUGACUAAGAAGCUCCGGCUAAAUACGUGCCAGCAGCCGCGGUAAUACGUAUGGAGCAAGCGUUAUCCGGAUUUACUGGGUGUAAAGGGAGCGUAGACGGUUUGCCAAGUCUGAUGUGAAAGGUGUGGGCUCAACCCGCAAACUGCAUUGGAAACUGGUAGACUAGAGUGUCGGAGAGGUAAGUGGAAUUCCUAGUGUAGCGGUGAAAUGCGUAGAUAUUAGGAGGAACACCAGCGGCGAAGGCGGCUUACUGGACGAUAACUGACGUUGAGGCUCGAAAGCGUGGG